Molecule: ribosomal RNA, 2906 nt
Filed under: Enterobacter ludwigii
Lineage: Bacteria; Pseudomonadati; Pseudomonadota; Gammaproteobacteria; Enterobacterales; Enterobacteriaceae
Also listed under: 1 other name
Description: 23S ribosomal RNA
Rfam family: Bacterial large subunit ribosomal RNA
Source: RNAcentral
GGUUAAGCGACUAAGCGUACACGGUGGAUGCCCUGGCAGUCAGAGGCGAUGAAGGACGUGCUAAUCUGCGAAAAGCGCCGGCGAGGUGAUAUGAACCUUUGACCCGGCGAUGUCCGAAUGGGGAAACCCAGUGUGUUCCGACACACUAUCGUUAACUGAAUACAUAGGUUAACGAGGCGAACCGGGGGAACUGAAACAUCUAAGUACCCCGAGGAAAAGAAAUCAACCGAGAUUCCCCCAGUAGCGGCGAGCGAACGGGGAGCAGCCCAGAGUCUGAAUCAGCUUGUGUGUUAGUGGAAGCGUCUGGAAAGUCGCACGGUACAGGGUGACAGUCCCGUACACGAAAGCACACAGGCUGUGAACUCGAAGAGUAGGGCGGGACACGUGGUAUCCUGUCUGAAUAUGGGGGGACCAUCCUCCAAGGCUAAAUACUCCUGACUGACCGAUAGUGAACCAGUACCGUGAGGGAAAGGCGAAAAGAACCCCGGCGAGGGGAGUGAAAAAGAACCUGAAACCGUGUACGUACAAGCAGUGGGAGCCUCUUUUAUGGGGUGACUGCGUACCUUUUGUAUAAUGGGUCAGCGACUUAUAUUCUGUAGCAAGGUUAACCGUAUAGGGGAGCCGAAGGGAAACCGAGUCUUAACUGGGCGUUAAGUUGCAGGGUAUAGACCCGAAACCCGGUGAUCUAGCCAUGGGCAGGUUGAAGGUUGGGUAACACUAACUGGAGGACCGAACCGACUAAUGUUGAAAAAUUAGCGGAUGACUUGUGGCUGGGGGUGAAAGGCCAAUCAAACCGGGAGAUAGCUGGUUCUCCCCGAAAGCUAUUUAGGUAGCGCCUCGUGAACUCAUCUUCGGGGGUAGAGCACUGUUUCGGCUAGGGGGCCAUCCCGGCUUACCAACCCGAUGCAAACUACGAAUACCGAAGAAUGUUAUCACGGGAGACACACGGCGGGUGCUAACGUCCGUCGUGAAGAGGGAAACAACCCAGACCGCCAGCUAAGGUCCCAAAGUCAUGGUUAAGUGGGAAACGAUGUGGGAAGGCACAGACAGCCAGGAUGUUGGCUUAGAAGCAGCCAUCAUUUAAAGAAAGCGUAAUAGCUCACUGGUCGAGUCGGCCUGCGCGGAAGAUGUAACGGGGCUAAACCAUGCACCGAAGCUGCGGCAGCGACACUAUGUGUUGUUGGGUAGGGGAGCGUUCUGUAAGCCGUUGAAGGUGUCCUGUGAGGGGUGCUGGAGGUAUCAGAAGUGCGAAUGCUGACAUAAGUAACGAUAAAGCGGGUGAAAAGCCCGCUCGCCGGAAGACCAAGGGUUCCUGUCCAACGUUAAUCGGGGCAGGGUGAGUCGACCCCUAAGGCGAGGCCGAAAGGCGUAGUCGAUGGGAAACAGGUUAAUAUUCCUGUACUUGGUGUUACUGCGAAGGGGGGACGGAGAAGGCUAUGUUAGCCGGGCGACGGUUGUCCCGGUUUAAGCAUGUAGGCGGAGGUUCCAGGUAAAUCCGGUUCCUUGUUAACGCUGAGGUGUGAUGACGAGGCACUACGGUGCUGAAGUAACAAAUGCCCUGCUUCCAGGAAAAGCCUCUAAGCAUCAGGUAACAUCAAAUCGUACCCCAAACCGACACAGGUGGUCAGGUAGAGAAUACCAAGGCGCUUGAGAGAACUCGGGUGAAGGAACUAGGCAAAAUGGUGCCGUAACUUCGGGAGAAGGCACGCUGAUAUGUAGGUGAAGCCCCUGCGGGUGGAGCUGAAAUCAGUCGAAGAUACCAGCUGGCUGCAACUGUUUAUUAAAAACACAGCACUGUGCAAACACGAAAGUGGACGUAUACGGUGUGACGCCUGCCCGGUGCCGGAAGGUUAAUUGAUGGGGUUAGCGGCAACGCGAAGCUCUUGAUCGAAGCCCCGGUAAACGGCGGCCGUAACUAUAACGGUCCUAAGGUAGCGAAAUUCCUUGUCGGGUAAGUUCCGACCUGCACGAAUGGCGUAAUGAUGGCCAGGCUGUCUCCACCCGAGACUCAGUGAAAUUGAACUCGCUGUGAAGAUGCAGUGUACCCGCGGCAAGACGGAAAGACCCCGUGAACCUUUACUAUAGCUUGACACUGAACACUGGUCCUUGAUGUGUAGGAUAGGUGGGAGGCUUUGAAGCGUGGACGCCAGUCUGCGUGGAGCCAACCUUGAAAUACCACCCUUUAAUGGCUGGUGUUCUAACGUAGACCCGUGAUCCGGGUUGCGGACAGUGUCUGGUGGGUAGUUUGACUGGGGCGGUCUCCUCCCAAAGAGUAACGGAGGAGCACGAAGGUUAGCUAAUCCUGGUCGGACAUCAGGAGGUUAGUGCAAUGGCAUAAGCUAGCUUGACUGCGAGAGUGACGGCUCGAGCAGGUGCGAAAGCAGGUCAUAGUGAUCCGGUGGUUCUGAAUGGAAGGGCCAUCGCUCAACGGAUAAAAGGUACUCCGGGGAUAACAGGCUGAUACCGCCCAAGAGUUCAUAUCGACGGCGGUGUUUGGCACCUCGAUGUCGGCUCAUCACAUCCUGGGGCUGAAGUAGGUCCCAAGGGUAUGGCUGUUCGCCAUUUAAAGUGGUACGCGAGCUGGGUUUAGAACGUCGUGAGACAGUUCGGUCCCUAUCUGCCGUGGGCGCUGGAGAAUUGAGGGGGGCUGCUCCUAGUACGAGAGGACCGGAGUGGACGCAUCACUGGUGUUCGGGUUGUCAUGCCAAUGGCACUGCCCGGUAGCUAAAUGCGGAAGAGAUAAGUGCUGAAAGCAUCUAAGCACGAAACUUGCCCCGAGAUGAGUUCUCCCUGAGACUUUAAGUCUCCUGAAGGAACGUUGAAGACUACGACGUUGAUAGGUCGGGUGUGUAAGCGCAGCGAUGCGUUGAGCUAACCGAUACUAAUGAACCGUGAGGCUUAACCUU